GACCACUGAAAAGAAGGAAAGAAAAAAAACCCAGGAUUUAAUGGAAAUUUAUUGUAACAUAAGAUUCAGAAAAAUUAGUACAAAGUAUUAAUUUGCAGUAAGAGCAAAGAGAUAAGAAAUAGAACAUGUUUGAAAAUAAAAUUAAAAAAUAUAUGGUGAACUGGGCAUGGUGGCACAUGCCUGCAAUCCCAGGAUUUGGGAGGCUGAGGCAGGAGGACUGCCAUGAGUUUGAGGCCAGCUGUUAGGUUACAUAGUGAGUUCAAGGUCAGCCUGAACUAUACAGCAAGAUCCUAUCUCAAACCAACAAACAAAAUUUACAUUUCAAAUUUUAAUAUAAAGCAUUUUAAUUCUAGGUAAACAGAGAAACUUGGUAAUUUGCUCCUCACAAAACAGAUUAUCAUAUUUUAUUCAUUCCCCACCCCACAAGUUUUGAGGAAGGCUGGACAAAUUCAGGCUAAGUUUAAACAUAUUUUAGCUCUGGGGAUAUUUUUUAAAGGUCAUGAUGACACUGAUAAUGUUACCCUGCUCUUUGCAAACCUAAGAAAAAGACUUUUCUGGAAAGGCAUACUUGAACUGAAAUUUAAAAAUAGAAAAGAAGCUAGUUGUACAAAGAAGUGCGAAGAGAAAUUCAUGUAGAAACAAAUACAAGUCGGAAUUUCAAGGUAUAGAAAGGCUGAUGGACUUCAGACAGCAUUUUGUAAAUCUUUGCUGGUUUCAACGCAGAGAUAAAGAAAUACUUUUUAUGUUAUAAACCAAUAUACAAGCGCACAGGCCCAAAAUAAAACCUAAGAUCAUUACUUCACCAUAUACUAGUAUACUUCCUUAUUUCUCAUUCUAUUGUGUUUCUUAAGAAGCAAACUGCAGUCAUGAUUCACUAGGUUGAUUUUAGGGCCCAUGAGUGGUUUGGGAGAAUUUGGGGAAAGGGAACAGAAGCCACUGGGUUGGGGACAGUAAGGGAGGGAGGUCAGCAUGCAGGCAUUUUCAGGCUGGGUCAGACACAAGAAAGCUCUUCCCUUCCCUAUAGAACAGAACUUCCACCCAGCAUCACUUCUUCUAGCUCCAAGAGCUUCCUUUACAAUGCCUGUAAUUUAGUGUUUUCAUUCAUUUGACUUAAAAUGUAAUUAAAAAUUUAGCUCAGCGGCAUAAGCACCUGCCUUGCAAGCAAGUGCACAGUUGUGAGUUCGAUCCCCGGUAUUGAUUAAAAAAAAAAAAAAAAGUGGGGGAGGCUGGGAUUUAGCUCAGUGUCAUAAGCACCUGCCUGGCAAGUGCAAGGUCAUGAGUUCGAUCCCUAGUACAAAAAAAAAAAAAAUUUCAUUCAUUUAACCUUCAGUUUGGUUGGAAGGAUUUCUCCUUGAUCCAGAACUCCAAGUUAAGUGUCUUUUCUUGGAGCACAUGCGAGACAUUGCUGCCUUCUGGCCUCAGUGAUUUCUUAGGCGAACUCUGUGGGUCUUAGCAGAUCCUGCAGCUGCUUCCCUUUCAAAUGUAACGCAGGUUUUCAUUGGUGGUGUUUUCUUCCGGCUGGCUGCUUUUCUGGUAUCUUUUGUUUUUAGUAGUUUUACCAAGUUAGUAAAAUUUACCAAACUACAAGGUUCAUUUUUCCAUUUUUUUCUUUUUGGUUAAAUUUUAAUAAUUUAGGGCUGGGGAUUUAGGUCAGUGGCAAAAUUGCCUGCCUAGCAGGCUCAAGGUCUUGAGUUUAAAAGAAAAAAAAUUAUUCAUUCUGCCCAAGUUUUCACUGAACUUACUGAAUCUAUGCUUGCUGUUUUGAAUCAAAUUUGGAUAAUUUUCUGGCCACUAUUUAAGCUAUUUUUCUGAAACUUCAUUUACAUGGAUAUUCUCCCACAGGUCUGUAAGAUUCUCUUUGCCUCUAAAAUUAUUUUCUUAAAUCAUGUUGGAUUUUUAAAAAAUGUUCAGUGAUGAUUUCACUUCUGUCCAGGUCCAGCUGAUGAUUUUUUUAAAGUUUGGUACAAUUUACAGUAAAAUUCACCCUUUCAAGUUUCCACGUGGAUGCGUUUCACAGACGCAGUGAAAAUCAGAGAGACUGCUGCAGUCAGUAAGAAAUUCUGGCCCUCUCCGAACUUUUCCACACACACACUUGUGAUUGCCCCACCUCCCCACUGACCACCGCCAACCCCAAACUCUUCCUAACACAACAGUGUUGUUUUUUCAGAUUGUCAUAUAGACGGAAUUAUACGGCCUUUAGAGAAUGGCUUGCAUUACUCAGCCAUUUGGGACCCAUUUGUGUUAGUGAGUUGUAUGUACAUGGAUGAUUUUAAGUCAACAAGUGUGUUUCAGAUUGCCUGUUUGAAUUCUUACCAGCAAAGUUAUGAGAGUCCCAGGUGAGUCGUAUAUCCUCCCCAGUACGCUGUGUGGUUGGGAUUGUGCGUGUUUAAAGGUCAGCUCUUCUAAUGGGUGUUUCAUGGCAUCGCGUUUACAGAGAUGAUUUGGUUUCUUCCUUUCCAAUAUGUAUCCUUAUUUUUUUCUCUUGCCUUAUUGCACUAGGUAGGACCUCAAUAACAUGUUAAAUGUUGAGACGAUAGUGCAUAUCCUUGCCUUGCUUCUGCUCUAGUUUGUUUUUUAAUUAGAAGGAAACGAGUCUUUCACCAUUAAGUAUGCAUCAGCUAUGUGAGUUUGUAGAUGGUCUUUUUUUAGACGGAGUGAGACAGUUAUCUUCUAUUCCUAGCCUGUUUUAUCAUGAAAAGAUGAUGAAUUCUAUCAAACAGGGUUUUUGUUUGUUUCUUUUUUGGUAUCUAGUAAGAUGAUACAAUUUUCUUCUUUGUGCUCUCUCAAUAUAAUAAAUUAUUAAAUUUUGUAUUGAAAUAACCUUGCAGCCCUAGGCUAAAAUCUACUUGUUAAAGAUUUAUUGUUUUUAAUGUACCACAUGAUUUAAUCUGUUAAUAUUUUGUUGAGGAUAUUUAGUUUGAUAUUCAUCAAGGAUAUUGUUUGUAACUUUUUAUGUUUUUGUCCAGGAGAUAUUGUCUUCAUAAAAUGGGUUGAGAAGUUUUGCCCCCCUGGAUUUUCUUGAAAAGUUUAUAUAGAAUCGCUAUUGAUAACUCCUUAAUUGUUUUGUCAAAUUCAUCAUGAAGCCAUCUGGGCUUGCAGUUCUCUUUAGAGAAAGAUCACAGACAAAUUCUAUUUCGGUAAUAGAUAUAGGACUAUUCAGGCUAUUUCUGAGAGAGUUUUGGUGUUUAGAUACUAUUAAGAAAUUUGUCAAUUUAAUUUAAGCCAGUAAAUUUAAAGGCAUUAAAUUUUAUGUAAUAUUUGUUGCAAUAUUCCUUUAUGCUUUCCUUGUUCACAAGAUAUUUAGGAUGUCCUUUUUUUCAUUCAUAGUACUGGUGAUUUGUGUUUUUUUUCCUUUGGUCUAUCUGGCUGUAGCUUUAUCUAUUUUAUUUAUCUCCAAGAACCAGCAGUUGGUUUUAUUGAUUUUUUUUUCUAUUCAGUUUCAUUGAUAGCAGGUCUGUUUUUAUCAUUUCUUUCAAUUUGCUUGCUUUGGGCUGAAUUUGCUAAAGUUUUCUUAAGGUACAGGUUUAGAACAUCAAUGUAUGACUUUUUUCCUAACAUAGUUAUUUCAUGCUAUAAAUUUCCUCCUAAGCAUUGCUUUAGCUGUAUUUCCCAAAAUUUUGAUAUAUGUUUUUUAUUUUUGCACUAUUAACAACACUUUCUAAUUUCCUACCGGACUUCAUUCAGCUAUUUUGAGUUAUUUUGGGUUAUUUUGAGGUGUGUUGCAUAAUUUUCAAUUAUUUUGGGAUUUUCCUUGAUAUCUUUGUCAUUGAUUUCUGCUUUCAUUCCAUUGUGACCAGAUAAUAUACUGGUCUUAACUUUUAAGUAUUUUUUUAGAAUGCUCUUAUUGCUAGGACAGUUUUCUGUCUUAGAGAUGUUAAAUGUUGUUAUGUUUUGCAUCUGGAUGUCCCCACAAAGCCUCAUGCCAUCAUGGGGCCAGGCUUCUAGAGUUCGUGACUGAUUCAUGGUCCAAUGCUGCACCCACCUUAGGGUGGGUAGCCUAUAUACAAUAUAAGGGACAGAAAGAGUCAUCUUUUGCUCUCCUUCCCUUUUUGCUGUUUUCUACUACCAUGAACUGUUUUCUCUGUGCUACACCACCCUGCCUUCGAGCCAGGUGAUUGUGGACUAAAAUCUCCACAAACUGUGAGCUAAAUAAAUCUUUCCUACCUUUAUUUUGGGUGUCAGGAAUUUUGUCUCAGCAAUGAAAGAAAACUAACCAAGAUAGAAUUUGGUCCCAGAGAAGUGGGGUUUUGCUAUGACUCUACCUGACCAUUUGAUUCAAAGGCCUUUGGGAAUGGCUUGUAGGAAGAAUUUGGAAAGAUUCUGAGAUGUUGUCUGAAAGAGUAGAGCUGGAAUGCCUUAGGUUGUUCUAUACAGGAGAUUCUGGUCAGAGAUCAAAAGAAGGCUGAUAGAAAGCCUGCCAGUAAAGACCAGGUUUGGGAGGUUUCUGCUGGGAAGGACUGCAUCAGCUGUCAGACUCUAGAUGAUAUGUGUUAUGGCUUACAAGAAAUUGUGUCUGCGUUUUGCUCAUGUCCAGAGACUGCCUGAGACUGUGAUUAAGCACAGUGGACUAAUCAGUCUGGCAGAAAAAGUUUCAAAGUAGUCAAAUACUAAGGCUGUGGUAUGGCUAUUGUUGGGGGCUUCUAGCCUGAUUUAUGUUAAGAACAAAGAGCAGAGAGCCUAGCAGGAUGAUUUAAAAUGUUGUGAGUUUGUCCAGAAAGGAAGUUCCAGUAACGCCGUGGACAGCAAAGAUAGAUCAAAGGACAGCUUCAUUGUUGAGAGGGAGCAGAAUAUAAAUGAUGGCCUAAGGGCAUCACAAGAAACAGCAAGACAUCACAUUUUAUAACCUCAAAACUGCAAAAGUAAAAAGACAUUGCUUUGAGGAGAAAGCCACAGAACACUAAUGUUCCAGAAUGGCAGAAGCGUACAGAAUAUGUUACUAACAGUGAGGUUCAGAGUGCCAAGUGAUCCAAGUACUCGACCUCCACGGCCAAGAGAGAGAAUAUGAAUGCCUGGGAGCCCGGCAGUGUGUGAAGUUGUAAGUGUGAAACCAAAGGUAAAGUGGAGAACCCAGAAGGUUGGAAAAGCCAGAAAUGUGGAUUGUCUGAGGAAAACUGCAGAGUAGGCCCAAGACAGAAGCUGUGAGAGCUACAACCACCAGCAGUGCCACAGGAGUGGAGCCACACAAGCCUUUUGGAGCUCACAAUUUACUACAGAUUGCUGUGGAUGUUCCAUAUGGAACUAUAGGGCUUAAUGUUUGUCCUGCUGAAUUUCGGAUUUGCUUUGGUCCCAUUUCUCUGUAUUUCCUUGUUUGUAACUUUUGGAAUGGAAAUGUUUAUCUUAUACCAGUGCAUGUUGGAAAUGUUUGUUUUCAUUUGUACAGGGGUUUGAAGCUAAGAGUUUGCCUUACAUCUUGGGACUUAGACUUUUCAGCAAUGCUGAAACUGUUAGGAUUUUGGCAGCUCUUGGAGAUGGACUAAAUGCCUUGUGCAUAAAGGACGUGCAUGAGUCUUUAGGGGGGCCAUGGGCAGAACAUUAUUUUUUGUGUUUGGAUGCCCCCAAAGCCUUAUGGGGUCAUGGGGGCAGGCUUCUAGAAUUUGUGAUUGAUUCAUGGUUGUGGGUACUCCACCCAUUCUAAGGUAGGUGGCCUACAUACAAUAUAAGGGACAGAAAGUCUUCUCUCUGUAUUCCUCCCUUUUUGCUCUUUUUGCUUUUGCUGUUUUUUGAUGCCAUGAAUUGUUGUCCUCUGUCAUGAACCACCGUACUUUGGAGCCAGCAGAUCAUAAACUGAAAUCUCCACAAAUUAUGAGCUAAAUAAACCUUUCCUUCCUAAA
Cavia porcellus (domestic guinea pig) is the source of this 5831-nucleotide long non-coding RNA. RefSeq lists it as uncharacterized. The transcript is spliced from 2 exons. The record is from RefSeq and is a predicted model, not a curated record. NCBI's taxonomy places the organism in Eukaryota, Metazoa, Chordata, Mammalia, Rodentia, Caviidae.